AUGGUCGACCGCCACCGCGCCUUCGUCGCCGCCGCGACGCUCUGCCUCGUCUUCGCCCACGGCAUGGCCGCGGCGCGGCCGCUGGAUGGGGACCAAUUUGCCGGCGUGGCACCGGCGGCGGCGGCUGCGGAUAUGGCGAUGGACGUGUCGGCGGCGUCGCCGGAUGGUUCUGCCACGUGGGAGCGCGGGGACGAGGCCCUCGGCGCCGGGAAGUGGCUGCCCCUGCCGCUGCCGACCGCGCUGACCGGCGGCCUGCGGUUCCCGGGGGUGUUCCAGUUCCCUGCGGCGACCGUGGGCGCGUCCAUGCCGUGGAUGGCCGGCGCGCCGCCCGCGCUCGCCGGGCCGGGGAUGCCGGCGCUCGUGCCGCCGUACGUCGGCGUGACCCGACAGGAGCAGCUCAGCGUGUGGGCCUCGCUGUUCAACCCGUUCCGUGUCAGGCCGAGGGUGCCGGCCCAGCCGUCGUCGGUGCCGGCGGAGCCCAGGGUCCCCGCCGUCGCCAGCGCAGGGCUCGACAGGACGACGACGGUGGACCAGCCGGCCGGCGGCGCGCAGAUCGGCGAGCCCAAGUGGGGCGUCUUCUUGGGAUCCGCUACUCCAAACAACAACGGCUAG
Molecule: ribosomal RNA, 612 nt
Filed under: Triticum aestivum (bread wheat)
Lineage: Eukaryota; Viridiplantae; Streptophyta; Magnoliopsida; Poales; Poaceae
Description: partial small subunit ribosomal RNA
Source: RNAcentral